AGGUGGUGCAUGGUUGUCGUCAGCUCGUGUCGUGAGAUGUUGGGUUAAGUCCCGCAACGAGCGCAACCCCUACGUUUAGUUGCUAACGCGUGAAGGCGAGCACUCUAGACGAACUGCCGGUGUCAAACCGGAGGAAGGUGGGGAUGACGUCAAAUCAUCAUGCCCCUUAUGACCUGGGCUACACACGUGCUACAAUGGUUGGUACAACGAGUUGCGAGUCGGUGACGGCGAGCUAAUCUCUUAAAGCCAAUCUCAGUUCGGAUUGUAGGCUGCAACUCGCCUACAUGAAGUCGGAAUCGCUAGUAAUCGCGGAUCAGCACGCCGCGGUGAAUACGUUCCCGGGCCUU
This 347-nucleotide ribosomal RNA is filed under the name uncultured Streptococcus sp. RNAcentral describes it as "bacterial SSU rRNA". It matches the Rfam family "Bacterial small subunit ribosomal RNA", at positions 1036 to 1382 of the family's 1533-position model. The record is from RNAcentral. Lineage: Bacteria; Bacillati; Bacillota; Bacilli; Lactobacillales; Streptococcaceae.